UAGUAAUUCUACCCAACUCUUUUAGCACAGUUUAUUUUUUUGUCCACUAGGUAGAGCCAUUCGACUGGAAGAAUCUUGUUUGCCUUUUGACGACUCACAAAGACUUAACUGCCGCUCGCGAUAGAUGUUUUUGAACUCAACAGUAGCCUAGGUCCGUAGCAGAGAGGGUUAACGCGGAUUUAAUUUGAGAGAUCAACAGCUUUAGAACGUAACAGUUUUCAUGAGGUCAGACAUUUCCCAAAUAUUCAGUUUUAAGCGGCUGGAACGUUGAGACUGUUCGGGAAUCUUUUGAAGAGUUCCACAUGCUUGGCAGCGGAAGGCUUCUCUACUGUACUGCCGCAUCACCAGAACACCCUGGGGCCCCGCUUGUGUUUUUUAUCCACUUUGAAACCAACAAGAACACAGUGAACAAUAAUGAAGCAGGCCGAGCAGGGAGAGGUCACAAAGCUAACGAGAGGUCACAAAGCUAACAUGAACUUGAAGGAGAGGUCAUGAAUGCUAAGGAUAUGCAGUUGCUUCAGGCAUCCGUUUCAGUGAGUCAAGAGGAAGUAGCUGAUGCUGCACAGGGUUUUUUUCAGUCCAUGACAUAGACGAUGCAUUUGUGAUGAUAGGAUUUUCUGGAAAGCAGCAAUAGAACUCAUGAAACUGACACAUCACACACACUCUGCCUUCAAUCAAAAGAAUAUUUUCUAACAUGGCAACAUAUUAGACAAUUAAGCUUUUUGAAUCUUAAAUCUUGAAUCUUGAAUGGGACUGUGGACUGCAACAGCGUUGAGCCAGGAGCGCCUAGGCUUACAUACAUGCUGUCUCUCGCUGAGAAGAGUAUAAAGCAUGGCAAACAACAGGUUCAGUGCUUCACCGCUUGGCCCUCAGCAUGCUGAAAAGAACAGAUACAGAUACUAACUACAUCAAAAUGAUUGGAGAGUUGGUUACAUUUCCUGCAGUGAAAGAGCUGCCAUUGUGUGGAGAUCAGGACAGUAUACUAAUAUAAUGAUGAGGAGUGUUAAGUGUGUUGAUGGCCUGGCUGCUGGGCUGUUUGUGAAAUUAUACGAAUACACCCUUGAGAAGGA
Alosa sapidissima (American shad) is the source of this 1070-nucleotide long non-coding RNA. RefSeq lists it as uncharacterized. The record is from RefSeq and is a predicted model, not a curated record. The transcript is spliced from 5 exons. NCBI's taxonomy places the organism in Eukaryota, Metazoa, Chordata, Actinopteri, Clupeiformes, Clupeidae.